Molecule: non-coding RNA, 107 nt
Organism: Oryza barthii
Lineage: Eukaryota; Viridiplantae; Streptophyta; Magnoliopsida; Poales; Poaceae
Source: Rfam
AUCCCAUGAUGAGGACAGGCGGACACAUAUUCCUGCAGUCGUUCCCAUGCUUCAGGAAUGCACUCGUCCCUCGUCUGCUGGAAACUAGAAGUCCUUCCACGAAGGGC